RNAcentral lists this ribosomal RNA (446 nucleotides) under uncultured bacterium. Its description in RNAcentral is "partial 16S ribosomal RNA". It matches the Rfam family "Bacterial small subunit ribosomal RNA", at positions 338 to 795 of the family's 1533-position model. The record is from RNAcentral.
CCUACGGGUGGCAGCAGUCGAGAAUUAUUCACAAUGGGGGAAACCCUGAUGGUGCGACGCCGCGUGGGGGAAUGAAGGUCUUCGGAUUGUAAACCCCUAUCAUGUGGGAGCAAAUUAAAAAGAUAGUACCACAAGAGGAAGAGACGGCUAACUCUGUGCCAGCAGCCGCGGUAAUACAGAGGUCUCAAGCGUUGUUCGGAAUCACUGGGCGUAAAGCGUGCGUAGGCUGUUGCGUAAGUCGUGUGUGAAAGGCGCGGGCUCAACCCGCGGACGGCACAUGAUACUGCGAGACUAGAGUAAGGGAGGGGGAACCGGAAUGCUCGGUGUAGCAGUGAAAUGCGUAGAUAUCGAGAGGAACACUCGUGGCGAAGGCGGGUUCCUGGACAUUAACUGACGCUGAGGCACGAAGGCCAGGGGAGCGAAAGGGAUUAGAUACCCCUGUAGUC